UACGGAGGGUGCAAGCGUUAUCCGGAUUCACUGGGUUUAAAGGGUGCGUAGGAGGGCAGGUAAGUCAGUGGUGAAAUCUCCGAGCUUAACUCGGAAACUGCCGUUGAUACUAUCUGUCUUGAAUCCCGUGGAGAUGAGCGGAAUAUGUCAUGUAGCGGUGAAAUGCUUAGAUAUGACAUAGAACACCAAUUGCGAAGGCAGCUCGUUACACGAAGAUUGACUCUGAGGCACGAAAGCGUGGGGAGCAAACAGG
Molecule: ribosomal RNA, 253 nt
Filed under: uncultured bacterium
Lineage: Bacteria
Description: partial 16S ribosomal RNA
Rfam family: Bacterial small subunit ribosomal RNA
Source: RNAcentral